Molecule: ribosomal RNA, 364 nt
Filed under: uncultured bacterium
Lineage: Bacteria
Description: partial 16S ribosomal RNA
Source: RNAcentral
UACGUAGGGUGCAAGCGUUAAUCGGAAUUACUGGGCGUAAAGCGUGCGCAGGCGGUUAUAUAAGACAGAUGUGAAAUCCCCGGGCUCAACCUGGGAACUGCAUUUUCGUAAACGUACGUACGUAAAGUACGUACGUAAGGACGUAACGGUUAGGGUAAGGGGGGAAGGGUUGGGGUAAGGUUAACCGUUUCCCGUUGGUUAGGUACGACGGGUUGGAAAAAAUUGGCCGGUUAAGGAAUUAAUUAGGGAACGGGGAAACGGAAACCCAACCGGUAGGUCGGGAACGGGAACGGGACCCAAACCUUCCCCGGUACGGUACCGUAGUUAACCUUGGAACCGACCUUCGAAGGUUGGCCGAAAACGG